UAACGGAUGCGGUUGAGGAUGUGA
Molecule: small RNA, 24 nt
Filed under: Bombyx mori (domestic silkworm)
Lineage: Eukaryota; Metazoa; Arthropoda; Insecta; Lepidoptera; Bombycidae
Description: ovarian small RNA-18843
Source: RNAcentral